Molecule: ribosomal RNA, 425 nt
Filed under: uncultured bacterium
Lineage: Bacteria
Description: partial 16S ribosomal RNA
Rfam family: Bacterial small subunit ribosomal RNA
Source: RNAcentral
GUGGGGAAUAUUGGGCAAUGGGCGAAAGCCUGACCCAGCAACGCCGCGUGAAGGAAGAAGGUUUUCGGAUCGUAAACUUCUAUCCUUGGUGAAGAUAAUGACGGUAGCCAAGAAGGAAGCCCCGGCUAACUACGUGCCAGCAGCCGCGGUAAUACGUAGGGGGCAAGCGUUGUCCGGAAUGAUUGGGCGUAAAGGGCGCGUAGGCGGCCCGGUAAGUCUGAAGUGAAAGUCCUGCUUUUAAGGUGGGAAUGGCUUUGGAUACUGUCGGGCUUGAGUGCAGGAGAGGUAAGCGGAAUUCCCGGUGUAGCGGUGAAAUGCGUAGAGAUCAGGAGGAACACCAGUGGCGAAGGCGGCUUACUGGACUGUAACUGACGCUGAGGCGCGAAAGUGUGGGGAGCAAACAGGAUUAGAAACCCGAGUAGUCC